Molecule: ribosomal RNA, 769 nt
Filed under: uncultured fungus
Lineage: Eukaryota; Fungi
Description: eukaryotic LSU rRNA
Rfam family: Eukaryotic large subunit ribosomal RNA
Source: RNAcentral
GAACUUAAGCAUAUCAAUAAGCGGAGGAAAAGAAACCAACAGGGAUUACCUCAGUAACGGCGAGUGAAGCGGUAACAGCUCAAAUUUGAAAUCUGCCGCAAGGCCGAGUUGUAAUUUGUAGAAGAUGCUUUGGGUAUGGCCCCGGUCUAAGUUCGUUGGAACACGACGUCAUAGAGGGUGAGAAUCCCGUAUGUGACUGGGUGCUUUUGCCUAUGUAAAGCUCUUUCGACGAGUCGAGUUGUUUGGGAAUGCAGCUCAAAAUGGGUGGUAUAUUUCAUCUAAAGCUAAAUAUUGGCCAGAGACCGAUAGCGCACAAGUAGAGUGAUCGAAAGAUGAAAAGCACUUUGGAAAGAGAGUUAAACAGUACGUGAAAUUGUUGAAAGGGAAGCGCUUGCAACCAGACUUGCACGCUGUUGAUCAUCCAGGCUUCUGUUUGGUGCACUCAACUGCGUUCAGGCCAGCAUCGGUUUUGGUGGUGGGAUAAAGGCCUUGGGAAUGUAGCUUCUUUCGGGGAGUGUUAUAGCCCUCGGUGCAAUGCCGCCUACCGGGACCGAGGACCGCGCUUCGGCUAGGAUGCUGGCGUAAUGGUUGUAAGCGACCCGUCUUGAAACACGGACCAAGGAGUCUAACAUCUAUGCGAGUGUUUGGGUGUCAAACCCAUACGCGUAAUUAACGUGAACGGAGGUGAGAACCCUUAAGGGUGCAUCAUCGACCGAUCCUGAUGUCUUCGGAUGGAUUUGAGUAAGAGCAUAGCUGUUGGGACCCGAAA